GCUUGUCUCAAAGAUUAAGCCAUGCAUGUCUAAGUAUAAGCAAUUACAAAGCGAAACUGCGAAUGGCUCAUUAUAUAAGUUAUCGUUUAUUUGAUAGUACCUUACUACAUGGAUAACCGUGGUAAUUCUAGAGCUAAUACAUGCUGAAAAUCCCGACUUCGGAAGGGAUGUAUUUAUUAGAUACAAAACCAAUGCCCUUCGGGGCUCCUUUGGUGAUUCAUGAUAACUUCUCGAAUCGCACGGCCCCGCGCCGGCGAUGGUUCAUUCAAAUUUCUUCCCUAUCAACUUUCGAUGCUACGGUAGUGUCCUAGCAUGGUUGCAACGGGUGACGGAGGGUUAGGGCUCGACCCCGGAGAAGGAGCCUGAGAAACGGCUACUACAUCCAAGGAAGGCAGCAGG
RNAcentral lists this ribosomal RNA (399 nucleotides) under uncultured Sordariomycetes. RNAcentral describes it as "partial small subunit ribosomal RNA". It matches the Rfam family "Eukaryotic small subunit ribosomal RNA", at positions 30 to 432 of the family's 1831-position model. Lineage: Eukaryota; Fungi; Ascomycota; Sordariomycetes. The record is from RNAcentral.